RNAcentral lists this transfer RNA (64 nucleotides) under Georissidae sp. BMNH 840458. RNAcentral describes it as "tRNA-Asp". The record is from RNAcentral. Lineage: Eukaryota; Metazoa; Arthropoda; Insecta; Coleoptera; Georissidae.
GAAAAUUUAGUUAAAAUAUAACAUUAGUCUGUCUAACUAAAAUUAUUAAAUUUAAUAAUUUUCA